This 107-nucleotide small RNA is filed under the name Marmota monax (woodchuck). Lineage: Eukaryota; Metazoa; Chordata; Mammalia; Rodentia; Sciuridae. The record is from RNAcentral.
GCUGGGUGUGGUGGUGUAUACCUGUAAUCCUAGCUGCUGGGGAGGCUGAGACAAGAGGAUUGCAAGUUCAAGGCCAAUCUUGGCAACUGAGACAAACCCUAUCUCAA